UACGAAGGGGGCUAGCGUUGCUCGGAAUCACUGGGCGUAAAGGGUGCGUAGGCGGGUCUUUAAGUCAGGGGUGAAAUCCUGGAGCUCAACUCCAGAACUGCCUUUGAUACUGAGGAUCUUGAGUUCGGGAGAGGUGAGUGGAACUGCGAGUGUAGAGGUGAAAUUCGUAGAUAUUCGCAAGAACACCAGUGGCGAAGGCGGCUCACUGGCCCGAUACUGACGCUGAGGCACGAAAGCGAUGGGGAGGCAAA
Molecule: ribosomal RNA, 251 nt
Filed under: uncultured bacterium
Lineage: Bacteria
Description: partial 16S ribosomal RNA
Rfam family: Bacterial small subunit ribosomal RNA
Source: RNAcentral